Molecule: long non-coding RNA, 2674 nt
Organism: Peromyscus californicus insignis
Lineage: Eukaryota; Metazoa; Chordata; Mammalia; Rodentia; Cricetidae
Exons: 3
Source: RefSeq, a predicted model, not a curated record
GGUGACUUGGUAGUUUCUUACCUUGGAUCUUAUGUCUUAAAACUGGGUAUCUGCUGAUGCAAGGAAAGGGCCUUGAAUCUCUUGGACCUAGACUUCCAGGUAGCUUAAGCAGAUGGACAUGGAUGCUGGGAACCGGACUUGGAUCUUCUGCAAGAGGAUGCUUUUAACUGCUGAGCCAUCUCUCCAGUCCCUAGAAUUUCUUUUCAAUUAAAUUUUUAAAAAAUUAUUACUGUGUGUAUAUAUGUUAUUGAAGUAACUGGUUCCCAGCAUCCAUGUUCAACAAGAAAUCAUCCUCACUCUUUGAAUUAAACAGUGAUCACUUCUAAAAUACCUUCUACCUGGGAAAGCUUUUUCUUUUAAUUUAGAAUUUGAAUCAUUUAAGUAAGCAUUAUGUACUACUGUGAAAUCAUUUAAAAUCAUUUUAGAUUAAAUAGGCCGUUAAAUUUAAGAUAAUCAUUUUUAUUGCAGGAUAAAAUAAGUGUAAAUUUCUUAUUGAAUAAUUGAAAACAGUUGCACAAAAAUGAAGUCAGUCUAACGUGCUUGUACAAAUGCAUUUAUGCCUUAGUAAUUUACAGUGGUUACAUGAGUUGCCAUUCUUUCUUAGUGGAUUAGGCAAUUAUCAUUUAAAAUAGAAAUUAAGAUUAUAUCUAUCUGUUCAUAAUUCUUACUACUAAAUUGUAUUUAUGUAUCACUUCUGCAUAAAAAUAGCAUCUCAUCCAUUUUCUUGACUUUUGUUAAAUAUUUAAUAGGAUCUGUUAAAUGUUUUAAAUAUCACUGGAUGGAAGGGGCAAAUGAAAUGUAAGUACCUAAGGCCUGGAGAGAUAGCUCAUUGGUUAAGAGAACUUGUUUUUUCAGAGGACCAAAUUCGAUUCCCGGCAGUCAUACGGCAGCUCACAACAAUCUCGCAACUUCAGUUUUAGGGAAUUUGAUGCCCUCCUCUGACCUCUGGGUGCAUCAAGCACACAGAUAUACCUGCAAGCAAAACACCCAUACACAUAAAGUAAUACGUACACACACACAUACAUACAUACACACACACACAUACAUACAUACAUACAUACAUACAUACAUACAUACGUUCCCAAAGACCACUUUUGUUUAAAUUCUUAAUAUGCUGAAAAUUGGAUUUUGUGAUAGUAAGUUUUAAAUUUUAGGACUUAUGCCAUCGGCAUUUUAAGUAUUAUAAAAAAAAAACUAAGAGAUCAUGAAAUUAGAUUUUAUUCAAUUUUGUUGUGAUCAUUAAUUUGCCAUUGUAGAUUCGUUUUUCUUUGUAUAUAAAAAUUUACCUUGAAUCUUGAAGUCAUGGUAUUUAAUUAAAACUGAAGGUAUUUUUUCUCCUUAAUUUCUAUAUAAAAUUAAGGAAAAUGUUAUUUAAAACAAUUUCUGUUGUGAUUAAUAUGGCUACUGAACACAGAAAUGAUGAACUGUAAGUGUGAAGUUGAUGUUAACUGAAAAUGUAGAACAGUAAUUAGUUCUUCUUUAGUGUCUAGUGAAUGAUGCCUUAGAGUAGUGGAAUACUGAAGAUCUGUGGGAUUUCCUCUUUGCUAAUUCUAUCCAGUGUAUUUUUAAGUAGAGAAAUGUUUUAUUUGUUCUCAUAUUUAUAAAAUGCAUCUGGAAGAAUAAAUUCACAUCUGGUCCAUGGAUUUCCUCCAUGGAGAUGUUCCAAAUUCAGUGUCAAGAUUAGAGCUUGUACUCAUAGGGUUUGCAGAAUCUUGUGUGGAAUUUGAAAUAUUUUGUUUGGAAGUAGUUGGGGGAAACAAUUGAUUCAGAUGUUUUUGUUGAGUUCUAAUUUUAGAUGUAUUUCUCCCUCAUUAAAAUUAAAAGCAUUCUGUGCUUCAUAGUAUAAUCAAGGUACAUUUAUAAUAUUAUCAAGGUACAUGUAAACACUGUUUCCAUUUAACAAGCUGUUUUAGUUGACCAUUUUCAACCUUGUUUUAUGAUAGACAGAUAAAUUGUUAAACUUACCAGAAUGGAUCAUUAGUAACUAUAGCUAUUAGAGAUUUACUUCUCAUUCAUAGUAUGCAGUCUUGAUUAUUCUGUCAUACUUCCUUGACACCAUUUCAGUGCAGCAAUAGUCACUUUUUAAUUGUCGUGUUCUUAAUGUCUUCCCAAAUGAGUUAUAUUAUUUGAAUUCUCAGAAUAUAAUGAUUGAACAGAGUGUUUUUACUCUCUUACAAUGGCUGACAAACAUCUUUGUGCCUGAAUGGAAUCAGUCCCUGGAGUAACAUAAAGAAGAAGCAUUUAUGGGCUAAAUCCAAGAAGCAUGCAGACUAAAAAUAAUAUUGUCAAACUUUUAUGAAUUAUUUGUCUUAUGCAUUGAGAUUGCCAAAUAGAACUGCUAGUCAUGGGAGUUAAACUUGAUACACUGGAACAAAUGGGUGUUGCUUAGUAAAUCUCAUUAAAGAUGCUUGAUCUUUUUCAAAGAUUGUGUUUUGGUCCUUUAAUGUGAUAUAUUUUCCAUGGAAUAACACCAUAAAGUUUAUUAAUAGAUAAAUCUACAUUUAUUUGCUUUACUAUGUUUAACUUUAAACUUUCAGUGGAAUAGGAAACAUGCAUUUUGCUUAUGUAUUUAAUUUAGUAGUUUUUAAACAAUACAGCAGGAAAUUUUGUGUUUGAGCAGAUUUUCCAGUGCAUUAUUAAAUACUUACUACUAAGAGUCUGGGAAGAGGCAGUC